GAUGAACGCUGGCGGCGUGCCUAAUACAUGCAAGUCGAGCGAACGGACGAGAAGCUUGCUUCUCUGAUGUUAGCGGCGGACGGGUGAGUAACACGUGGAUAACCUACCUAUAAGACUGGGAUAACUUCGGGAAACCGGAUCUAAUACCGGAUAAUAUUUUGAACCGCAUGGUUCAAAAGUGAAGGACGGUCUUGCUGUCACUUAUAGAUGGAUCCGCGCUGCAUUAGCUAGUUGGUAAGAUAACGGCUUACCAAGGCAACGAUGCAUAGCCGACCUGAGAGGGUGAUCGGCCACACUGGAACUGAGACACGGUCCAGACUCCUACGGGAGGCAGCAGUAGGGAAUCUUCCGCAAUGGGCGAAAGCCUGACGGAGCAACGCCGCGUGAGUGAUGAAGGUCUUCGGAUCGUAAAACUCCGUUAUUAGGGAAGAACAUAUGUGUAAGUAACUGUGCACAUCUUGACGGUACCUAAUCAGAAAGCCACGGCUAACUACGUG
This 497-nucleotide ribosomal RNA is filed under the name uncultured bacterium. RNAcentral describes it as "partial 16S ribosomal RNA". It matches the Rfam family "Bacterial small subunit ribosomal RNA", at positions 28 to 507 of the family's 1533-position model. The record is from RNAcentral.